AAUCUUCCACAAUGGACGAGAGUCUGAUGUUGCAACGCCUCGUGAGCUAAGAUGGUUUUCGUAACGUAAAGCUCUGUUGGAAGGGAAGAACACGUACGGGAGUCACCACCCGUACCUUAACCGUACCUUAUCUUAAAGCCACGGCUACCUACGUGCCAGCAGCCUCGGUAAUACGUAGGUGGCAAGCGUUGUCCGGAAUUAUUGGGCGUAAAGCGCGAGCAGGCGGUCCUGUAAGUCUGAAGUGAAAGCCCACGGCUCAACCGUGGAGGGUCAUUGGAAACUGGAGGACUUGAGUACAGAAGAGGAAAGCGGAAUUCCACGUGUAGCGGUGAAAUGCGUAGAGAUGUGGAGGAACACCAGGGGCGAAGGCGGCUUUCUGGUCUGUAACUGACGCUGAGGCGCGAAAGCGUGGGGAGCAAACAG
Molecule: ribosomal RNA, 423 nt
Filed under: uncultured bacterium
Lineage: Bacteria
Description: partial 16S ribosomal RNA
Rfam family: Bacterial small subunit ribosomal RNA
Source: RNAcentral